ACGAACGCUGGCGGCGUGCUUCACACAUGCAAGUCGAACGGAAAGGCCCUGCUUUUGUGGGGUGCUCGAGUGGCGAACGGGUGAGUAACACGUGAGUAACCUGCCCUUGACUUUGGGAUAACUUCAGGAAACUGGGGCUAAUACCGGAUAGGAGCUCCUGCUGCAUGGUGGGGGUUGGAAAGUUUCGGCGGUUGGGGAUGGACUCGCGGCUUAUCAGCUUGUUGGUGGGGUAGUGGCUUACCAAGGCUUUGACGGGUAGCCGGCCUGAGAGGGUGACCGGCCACAUUGGGACUGAGAUACGGCCCAGACUCCUACGGGAGGCAGCAGUGGGGAAUAUUGCACAAUGGGCGGAAGCCUGAUGCAGCAACGCCGCGUGCGGGAUGACGGCCUUCGGGUUGUAAACCGCUUUCGCCUGUGACGAAGCGUGAAUGACGGUAAUGGGUAAAGAAGCACCGGCUAACUACGUG
RNAcentral lists this ribosomal RNA (467 nucleotides) under uncultured bacterium. RNAcentral's name for it is "partial 16S ribosomal RNA". It matches the Rfam family "Bacterial small subunit ribosomal RNA", at positions 29 to 507 of the family's 1533-position model. The record is from RNAcentral.